RNAcentral lists this ribosomal RNA (492 nucleotides) under uncultured bacterium. Its description in RNAcentral is "partial 16S ribosomal RNA". It matches the Rfam family "Bacterial small subunit ribosomal RNA", at positions 29 to 507 of the family's 1533-position model. The record is from RNAcentral.
AUUGAACGCUGGCGGCAUGCUUUACACAUGCAAGUCGAACGGUAACAGGCCUUCGGGUGCUGACGAGUGGCGAACGGGUGAGUAAUGCAUCGGAACGUACCCAGAGGUGGGGGAUAACGCAGCGAAAGCUGUGCUAAUACCGCAUGUGAUCUGAGGAUGAAAGCGGGGGACCGAGCAGCAAUGUUUGGCCUCGCGCCUUUGGAGCGGCCGAUGUCGGAUUAGCUAGUUGGUGGGGUAAAGGCCUACCAAGGCGACGAUCCGUAGCUGGUCUGAGAGGACGAACAGCCACACUGGGACUGAGACACGGCCCAGACUCCUACGGGAGGCAGCAGUGGGGAAUUUUGGACAAUGGGCGCAAGCCUGAUCCGGCAAUGCCGCGUGCGGGAAGAAGGCCUUCGGGUUGUAAACCGCUUUUGGCAGGAACGAAACGGUGUCCGCUAAUACCGGGCGCUAAUGACGGUACCUGCAGAAUAAGCACCGGCUAACUACGUG